Small nucleolar RNA from Tupaia belangeri (northern tree shrew), 83 nucleotides. Lineage: Eukaryota; Metazoa; Chordata; Mammalia; Scandentia; Tupaiidae. The record is from Ensembl.
UGGCCGAUGAUGACGUGACCACUGCGCAAUCUGAGUUCUGAGAACCACCUGAUGGAGCGUGUUCUGAAAACCGACUGAGGCCG